UUUCUCCCUCCCCUAUCAAACCCAGCCAGGGUGAUAUAAGACUGGAAACAGAUCACGGAAACAAGCAGGAAGAAGAAAAAGAGAAAUGUACAGAAUUUAAAAGGGGAAGCAGGAGGGAAAGCAGAAUUCCAAAACGGUCUCAAUGUGUCAUGAUCCUCUUGCCUCAGUCUCUCAAGUAGCUGGGUACCACUGCCUCCUAAGCAGAAAUUUAAAAAUUCAGUGAAAGGGCUGAAACCUCCCAAAGAGUAGAACAGACAACUUUCUGGAGAUCAAAAACAUCAACAUUGUAAUCCAGGACUUUCUGGUGUUGGAGGCUGUGCACAAAUAGGAAUUCCCGUGACCACGUCGAAACGGUCUAGUAAUCAAUCGGGCAUCUUUUACAAGACCAAACCCUUCCCCCAUCCCGUUCCCUCCUAUCUCCGUCCCUAACCCAAACACACGUAGGAAGACCCUCUAGACCGAUUUCCACCAAUCCUGCAGCGCGUGAACUGGGAGAAAGAAAUAAUA
This is a long non-coding RNA of Tupaia belangeri chinensis (Chinese tree shrew), 507 nucleotides long. RefSeq lists it as uncharacterized. The record is from RefSeq and is a predicted model, not a curated record. The transcript is spliced from 3 exons. NCBI's taxonomy places the organism in Eukaryota, Metazoa, Chordata, Mammalia, Scandentia, Tupaiidae.